RNAcentral lists this ribosomal RNA (205 nucleotides) under uncultured bacterium. RNAcentral describes it as "partial 16S ribosomal RNA". It matches the Rfam family "Bacterial small subunit ribosomal RNA", at positions 568 to 773 of the family's 1533-position model. The record is from RNAcentral.
CGUUGAGGCGGUUCUGUAAGUUGGGCGUGAAAGCCCCGGGCUUAACUCGGGGAGGUCGUUCAAUACUGCAGGACUUGAGGGCAGCAGAGGGAGGUGGAAUUCCCGGUGUAGCGGUGAAAUGCGUAGAGAUCGGGAGGAACACCAGUGGCGAAGGCGGCCUCCUGGGCUGCUCCUGACGCUGAAGGCGAAAGCUAGGGUAGCAAAC